Molecule: ribosomal RNA, 484 nt
Filed under: uncultured bacterium
Lineage: Bacteria
Description: partial 16S ribosomal RNA
Rfam family: Bacterial small subunit ribosomal RNA
Source: RNAcentral
AUUGAACGCUGGCGGCAGGCCUAACACAUGCAAGUCGAGCGGAUGAAGGGAGCUUGCUCCUGGAUUCAGCGGCGGACGGGCGAGUAAUGCCUAGGAAUCUGCCUGGUAGUGGGGGAUAACGUCCGGAAACGGGCGCUAAUACCGCAUACGUCCUGAGGGAGAAAGUGGGGGAUCUUCGGACCUCACGCUAUCAGAUGAGCCUAGGUCGGAUUAGCUAGUUGGUGGGGUAAAGGCCUACCAAGGCGACGAUCCGUAACUGGUCUGAGAGGAUGAUCAGUCACACUGGAACUGAGACACGGUCCAGACUCCUAAGGGAGGCAGCAGUGGGGAAUAUUGGACAAUGGGCGAAAGCCUGAUCCAGCCAUGCCGCGUGUGUGAAGAAGGUCUUCGGAUUGUAAAGCACUUUAAGUUGGGAGGAAGGGCAGUAAGUUAAUACCUUGCUGUUUUGACGUUACCAACAGAAUAAGCACCGGCUAACUUCGUG